Molecule: ribosomal RNA, 593 nt
Filed under: uncultured freshwater bacterium
Lineage: Bacteria
Description: bacterial SSU rRNA
Rfam family: Bacterial small subunit ribosomal RNA
Source: RNAcentral
AGAGUUUGAUCCUGGCUCAGAUUGAACGCUGGCGGCAUGCCUUACACAUGCAAGUCGAACGGCAGCACGGGUGCUUGCACCUGGUGGCGAGUGGCGAACGGGUGAGUAAUAUAUCGGAACGUACCUUAUCGUGGGGGAUAACGCAGCGAAAGCUGCGCUAAUACCGCAUACGCCCUGAGGGGGAAAGCGGGGGACCGUAAGGCCUCGCGCGAUUAGAGCGGCCGAUAUCUGAUUAGCUUGUUGGUGGGGUAAAAGCCCACCAAGGCGACGAUCAGUAGCUGGUCUGAGAGGACGAUCAGCCACACUGGGACUGAGACACGGCCCAGACUCCUACGGGAGGCAGCAGUGGGGAAUUUUGGACAAUGGGGGCAACCCUGAUCCAGCAAUGCCGCGUGAGUGAAGAAGGCCUUCGGGUUGUAAAGCUCUUUUGUCAGGGAAGAAACAGCAGCUCUAACACAGUCUGCGAAUGACGGUACCUGAAGAAUAAGCACCGGCUAACUACGUGCCAGCAGCCGCGGUAAUACGUAGGGUGCAAGCGUUAAUCGGAAUUACUGGGCGUAAAGCGUGCGCAGGCGGUUAUACAAGACAGGCGU